Molecule: long non-coding RNA, 1207 nt
Filed under: Zea mays
Lineage: Eukaryota; Viridiplantae; Streptophyta; Magnoliopsida; Poales; Poaceae
Description: long non-coding RNA (ZMAY_LNC003971)
Source: RNAcentral
UUUUAAUAGGUGAAGAACAAAUGGUAAUAGGUAAUGAAUAUGGUUAGAUAAUGAUAUUUUAUAGUUGUAGUAGGGUAUAGAGAGAGAAUAUAGGGGAAACCGCUGCCGGAGAUGAAAAAGUAGGAGAUAAAAUAUUGAUGAUGUGACGCAAAAAAGUGAUAUAGGAGGGAAAUUUAGGGGCUGCUCACAGUCUUAUAUGAACAAUUGUUUUUCCAUACGACAUGAUUAUAACAACUCGCUGUAUUGCGGAUAGAGGCUGAAUGAGGACAAAUCAGCUUUAGAUAGAGUUCAAUUGAGAUCCAUCGCCCUUGUCAAAAAGAAAAAGAGACAGUGAUGACGAAUGGCUUUCUUACCCUAGUGGUGGACAACGAUCGCGAGAGUGACUCUGCAACUGUGAAUGACUAAAUACAGAGAACGGCAUGCUUUUACUCUACUGCUCAGAGUAAUGGAGCGGCGAGAAAGUUUAAAGCAGAGUGCAGACUCCGUUCUGUCAGGAUAAUUCAGUAUAUGCAUGGGUUGCUUGCUCCAUGAUCAAUACUGCUGCAGCGAAAUGUCUGCAUACUUGGAACGAACGGACAUGUAGGCAUGGCAUGUGUGACAACUGACAAUAGAGUUGUCAUCAAGAAAGAGACUGAUGGGUAAGUUGCUGAGUCAUCGUUAUCGCCUGCAAAGAUAAACUUUGCAAUCUCUUGGAAACAAAGAAAAAACAAAAACAUCGCAAUCCUCCCUUUCUGUGUGCUUCAAUUUUACGGAUCUGCGAAGUACUACUAGUUUUGCUUCAUAAUUGCAUCUCAUCUGAAACUGGAGAGACGUUUGUCGUCGGUUUCACAGUCCAGAGCUGGGUCUGAAGCGAGUAAGAGCAGGGGUCGCAACUGGAGCAUCGAUUCCGGAAACUAAUAGAAAAUCAGUUCAUCCAGGAACCCAGUUCAGGAGAGGCCCCCAACAUGAGCAAAGUAGCAGUGGUGAACAUAUGAGAUGGUAUCUACAGGCCAUGCACGGCCCGUCGAUCGCCCAGUGGCUCUGUGCUGUGCUCUGUGCUAGCAGGAGCUACACUACAUACUCGUGAGCACGACACCUAAACCCACAUGAUCAUGAUUAUUCAACAUGAGAAUCGAACUGAUACUGGAAUUAAACAGACAGAAGGGCUUGUUGGUUCUUGCUGGCGAUCGACGGGACCGGGCGGGCGAGCCGAGGCGGCGAGGCCUAC